UCCGGGGUAGCUCAGCGGCAGAGCGGGCGCCUGUUAAGCGCUUGGUCGGGAGUUCGAAUCUCCCCCCCGGAGCCA
RNAcentral lists this transfer RNA (75 nucleotides) under Actinomycetota bacterium. RNAcentral's name for it is "tRNA-Asn". It matches the Rfam family "tRNA". From Rfam's summary of the family: Transfer RNA (tRNA) molecules are approximately 80 nucleotides in length. Their secondary structure includes four short double-helical elements and three loops (D, anti-codon, and T loops). Further hydrogen bonds mediate the characteristic L-shaped molecular structure. tRNAs have two regions of fundamental functional importance: the anti-codon, which is responsible for specific mRNA codon recognition, and the 3' end, to which the tRNAs corresponding amino acid is attached (by aminoacyl-tRNA synthetases). tRNAs cope with the degeneracy of the genetic code in two manners: having more than one tRNA (with a specific anti-codon) for a particular amino acid; and 'wobble' base-pairing, i.e. permitting non-standard base-pairing at the 3rd anti-codon position. The record is from RNAcentral. Lineage: Bacteria; Bacillati; Actinomycetota.